UACGUAGGACCCAAGCGUUAUCCGGAGUGACUGGGCGUAAAGAGUUGCGUAGGCGGCUUAAUAAGUGGAUAGUGAAACCUGGUGGCUCAACCAUACAGACUAUUAUCCAAACUGUUAAGCUCGAGAAUGGUAGAGGUGGCUGGAAUUUCUAGUGUAGGAGUGAAAUCCGUAGAUAUUAGAAGGAACACCAAUGGCGUAGGCAGGCCACUGGACCAUUUCUGACGCUAAGGCACGAAAGCGUGGGGAGCGAACCGG
RNAcentral lists this ribosomal RNA (255 nucleotides) under uncultured bacterium. Its description in RNAcentral is "partial 16S ribosomal RNA". It matches the Rfam family "Bacterial small subunit ribosomal RNA", at positions 524 to 776 of the family's 1533-position model. The record is from RNAcentral.